UGGGGAAUAUUGCACAAUGGGCGGAAGCCUGAUGCAGCGACGCCGCGUGGGGGAUGACGGCCUUCGGGUUGUAAACCUCUUUCAGCUCCGACGAAGCGAGAGUGACGGUAGGGGCAGAAGAAGCGCCGGCCAACUACGUGCCAGCAGCCGCGGUAAGACGUAGGGCGCGAGCGUUGUCCGGAUUUAUUGGGCGUAAAGAGCUCGUAGGCGGCUUGUCGCGUCGUCCGUGAAAACCCGUGGCUCAACUGCGGGCUUGCGGUCGAUACGGGCAGGCUGGAGUUCGGUAGGGGAGACUGGAAUUCCUGGUGUAGCGGUGAAAUGCGCAGAUAUCAGGAGGAACACCGGUGGCGAAGGCGGGUCUCUGGGCCGAUACUGACGCUGAGGAGCGAAAGCGUGGGGAGCGAACAGGAUUAGAUACC
This 419-nucleotide ribosomal RNA is filed under the name uncultured bacterium. RNAcentral describes it as "bacterial SSU rRNA". It matches the Rfam family "Bacterial small subunit ribosomal RNA", at positions 355 to 786 of the family's 1533-position model. The record is from RNAcentral.